UUACAUUGUUCAAACUGAGCUCAACUCCUGAUGCAAAAAAAAAUAAAUAAAUAUUGGGACAUAUAAAAAAAGACAACUCUGUUCUGCAGAGUAGCUAUUGACAUUAUAUUUGCUCAGGAACUUUGUUGACUCUAGAGAACCUCGGGCAAAUCGCACAUCCCCAUGGCGGCGACUUUGCAUGCGGAUGUCAUCCAUAUCAACUUUCGAUGCCAGUUUCUGCACUUACCAUGGUGACCACGGGUAACGGGAAUCAGGGUUCCAUUCCG
This is a non-coding RNA of Pelobates cultripes (western spadefoot toad), 266 nucleotides long. Lineage: Eukaryota; Metazoa; Chordata; Amphibia; Anura; Pelobatidae. The record is from the annotation of a GenBank genome assembly.